CAUACAUGCAGGGGCUUCCCUGGGGAUUUCCUCAGGGACAAUCCCGGGGAAGGGUGGAGACCACCUCUUCUGGAAGGAGAUGACCUCUGAGUCUGUGGUCCAAUCUCCUGGGCUCAGGAAACUGGAAGCUGAAAGAACACCCGUAUUAUAUUACACCUCGUGAUUCCAGAUGGAGGGGAAGGCUUGACAGAAUGGACCUAAGGUCUCAUUGCAAGAGGCAGCCUGAUUUCUACCAAGAACCCUUCAAUCUCUCAGCUGAUGACCCUCUGCCUUCUGGAAGAUGUAUAUGUAAUUUGACACCAGGAUUCUUCUUUUAAAAGGUGCCUGACAUAUGAUGAGCAUCAGUAAAAGCUGGCUGCUAUGAUUCAACACCACUAGAGGAAGAACUUACAAAAAUGAAGACUGUGAAAACUUUGAACAAAGGAAGUGAGAGAACCUGUGACACCCUUUCUGCAGAAAUUCUUGGAUGUCGGGGUGCCUGGCUGGCUCAGUUGGAUGAGUACCCAACUCUUGAUUUCGGCUCCGGUGAUGAUCUCAGGUCAUGGAGUCAAGCCCUCCGUCAGGCUCUUCAUUCAGUGCAGUCUGCUUUCCCUCCAUCCUUCCCCUCAUCA
Neogale vison (American mink) is the source of this 611-nucleotide long non-coding RNA. RefSeq lists it as uncharacterized. The record is from RefSeq and is a predicted model, not a curated record. The transcript has 4 exons. NCBI's taxonomy places the organism in Eukaryota, Metazoa, Chordata, Mammalia, Carnivora, Mustelidae.